ACGCUAGCUACAGGCUUAACACAUGCAAGUCGAGGGGAAACGGCAUUAAGUGCUUGCACUUUUUGGACGUCGACCGGCGCACGGGUGAGUAACGCGUAUCCAACCUUCCCAUGACUAAGGGAUAACCUGCCGAAAGGCAGACUAAUACCUUAUGGUCUUCACUGACGGCAUCAGAUGUGAAGUAAAGAUUUAUCGGUUAUGGAUGGGGAUGCGUCUGAUUAGCUUGUUGGCGGGGUAACGGCCCACCAAGGCAACGAUCAGUAGGGGUUCUGAGAGGAAGGUCCCCCACAUUGGAACUGAGACACGGUCCAAACUCCUACGGGAGGCAGCAGUGAGGAAUAUUGGUCAAUGGGCGAGAGCCUGAACCAGCCAAGUAGCGUGCAGGAUGACGGCCCUAUGGGUUGUAAACUGCUUUUGUAUGGGGAUAAAGUCAAUCACGUGUGAUUGUUUGCAGGUACCAUACGAAUAAGGACCGGCUAAUUCCGUGCCAGCAGCCGCGGUAAUACGGAAGGUCCGGGCGUUAUCCGGAUUUAUUGGGUUUAAAGGGAGCGUAGGCUGGAGAUUAAGUGUGUUGUGAAAUGUAGACGCUCAACGUCUGACUUGCAGCGCAUACUGGUUUCCUUGAGUACGCACAACGUUGGCGGAAUUCGUCGUGUAGCGGUGAAAUGCUUAGAUAUGACGAAGAACUCCGAUUGCGAAGGCAGCUGACGGGAGCGCAACUGACGCUGAAGCUCGAAGGUGCGGGUAUCGAACAGGAUUAGAUACCCUGGUAGUCCGCACAGUAAACGAUGGAUGCCCGCUGUUGGUACCUGGUAUCAGCGGCUAAGCGAAAGCAUUAAGCAUCCCACCUGGGGAGUACGCCGGCAACGGUGAAACUCAAAGGAAUUGACGGGGGCCCGCACAAGCGGAGGAAC
Molecule: ribosomal RNA, 914 nt
Filed under: uncultured bacterium
Lineage: Bacteria
Description: bacterial SSU rRNA
Rfam family: Bacterial small subunit ribosomal RNA
Source: RNAcentral